This 837-nucleotide ribosomal RNA is filed under the name Corallococcus exiguus. RNAcentral describes it as "bacterial SSU rRNA". It matches the Rfam family "Bacterial small subunit ribosomal RNA", at positions 1 to 822 of the family's 1533-position model. The record is from RNAcentral. Lineage: Bacteria; Pseudomonadati; Myxococcota; Myxococcia; Myxococcales; Myxococcaceae.
UUAGAGUUUUGUUCAUGGCUCAGAACGAACGCUGGCGGCGUGCCUAACACAUGCAAGUCGAGCGCGAAUAGGGGCAACCCUUAGUAGAGCGGCGCACGGGUGCGUAACACGUGGAUAAUCUGCCUGGAUGCCUGGGAUAACCAGUCGAAAGAUUGGCUAAUACCGGAUAAGCCCACGGUUUCUUCGGAGACUGAGGGAAAAGGUGGCCUCUGUAUACAAGCUAUCACAACCAGAUGAGUCCGCGGCCCAUCAGCUAGUUGGCGGGGUAAUGGCCCACCAAGGCAACGACGGGUAGCUGGUCUGAGAGGACGAUCAGCCACACUGGAACUGAGACACGGUCCAGACUCCUACGGGAGGCAGCAGUGGGGAAUUUUGCGCAAUGGGCGAAAGCCUGACGCAGCAACGCCGCGUGUGUGAUGAAGGUCUUUGGAUUGUAAAGCACUUUCGACCGGGACGAAACCGUAAAGCCUAAUACGCUUUGCCUUGACGGUACCGGGAGAAGAAGCACCGGCUAACUCUGUGCCAGCAGCCGCGGUAAUACAGAGGGUGCAAGCGUUGUUCGGAAUUAUUGGGCGUAAAGCGCGUGUAGGCGGCUUUGCAAGUCGGGUGUGAAAGCCCUCAGCUCAACUGAGGAAGUGCGCCCGAAACUGCAGAGCUUGAGUGCCGGAGAGGGUGGCGGAAUUCCCCAAGUAGAGGUGAAAUUCGUAGAUAUGGGGAGGAACACCGGUGGCGAAGGCGGCCACCUGGACGGUAACUGACGCUGAGACGCGAAAGCGUGGGUAGCAAACAGGAUUAGAUACCCUGGUAGUCCACGCCGUAAACGAUGAGAACUAGGUG